CCUACGGGAGGCUGCAGUGGGGAAUAUUGGACAAUGGGCGAAAGCCUGAUCCAGCCAUGCCGCGUGUGUGAAGAAGGCCUUCGGGUUGUAAAGCACUUUCAGUGGAGAAGAAAGCCUUGGGGCUAAUACCCUCGAGGAAGGACAUCACCCACAGAAGAAGCACCGGCUAACUCCGUGCCAGCAGCCGCGGUAAUACGGAGGGUGCGAGCGUUAAUCGGAAUUACUGGGCGUAAAGCGCGCGUAGGCGGUCUGAUAAGCCGGUUGUGAAAGCCCCGGGCUCAACCUGGGAACGGCAUCCGGAACUGUCAGGCUAGAGUGCAGGAGAGGAAGGUAGAAUUCCCGGUGUAGCGGUGAAAUGCGUAGAGAUCGGGAGGAAUACCAGUGGCGAAGGCGGCCUUCUGGACUGACACUGACGCUGAGGUGCGAAAGCGUGGGUAGCAAACAGGAUUAGAUACCCUAGUAGUC
Molecule: ribosomal RNA, 465 nt
Filed under: Vreelandella stevensii
Lineage: Bacteria; Pseudomonadati; Pseudomonadota; Gammaproteobacteria; Oceanospirillales; Halomonadaceae
Description: partial 16S ribosomal RNA
Rfam family: Bacterial small subunit ribosomal RNA
Source: RNAcentral